GUUGGUUUUACAUUAACCUCUGCCCAAACCUUGUCCUUUCUGGGGCACUGAGUGCAACUGUGUGCUCUUGUUCCCACGACCUAGGGAUCCAGGUACAGUUGCUUUCCUGCUUUCUGCUUGCAGAGUUAGAUGCCAGCCAUCUGUCCAACUGCUGGGCAGGGAAGAUAAACACUGCAGCCCUGGGAGCCCUGCAGAGAGCAGAGGAAAGAAUUCUUGAGGACCCCCACCCCACACGUUUCGAAAGGAGACAUAAUCAGCAAACGGCUCGAAAAGCAGCUAACUUAAGAGUAAAUAACGAUCAAGAGGUACCAUGGAAGAGACAAUGUCCUGUUGGCCAGCACAAUUAAAAUCAAUAUCACUGGUAAGAAAAUGAUAUAUCCACUGUGAAUGACUUUGGAAUGGUUUCUGUCAGGGCCCUUGCUUGUGAUUAAAGCUAAGGACGAAAAAUUCACACAGCUGUUUGGAGGUCGGUUUAUAUUGG
RNAcentral lists this long non-coding RNA (481 nucleotides) under Rattus norvegicus (Norway rat). RNAcentral describes it as "long non-coding RNA NONRATT032200". Lineage: Eukaryota; Metazoa; Chordata; Mammalia; Rodentia; Muridae. The record is from RNAcentral.